UACGAAGGGGGCUAGCGUUGCUCGGAAUCACUGGGCGUAAAGCGCACGUAGGCGGACUCUUAAGUCGGUGGUGAAAUCCUGGAGCUCAACUCCAGAACUGCCUUCGAUACUGAGAGUCUCGAGUCCGAGAGAGGUGAGUGGAACUGCGAGUGUAGAGGUGAAAUUCGUAGAUAUUCGCAAGAACACCAGUGGCGAAGGCGGCUCACUGGUCCAUUACUGACGCUGAGGUGCGAAAGCUAGGGGAGCAAACAGG
Molecule: ribosomal RNA, 253 nt
Filed under: uncultured bacterium
Lineage: Bacteria
Description: partial 16S ribosomal RNA
Rfam family: Bacterial small subunit ribosomal RNA
Source: RNAcentral